Long non-coding RNA from Terrapene triunguis (Three-toed box turtle), 290 nucleotides. RefSeq lists it as uncharacterized. The record is from RefSeq and is a predicted model, not a curated record. NCBI's taxonomy places the organism in Eukaryota, Metazoa, Chordata, Testudines, Emydidae. The transcript has 3 exons.
GGCUGGUGAUCCAAUCCAGACCUACUUUGCUGCAUCAUCUGUACUGAGCACACUAAGACAGCCAGUGGGAAUGGGUGCCGAUGGACUUUGUAUUGAUGGGAAUCCUGCUGGUUUCCUGGAGAGUAAAAGGACAAGCUGUACUCGGACCUUCACCAACCUGAGCAGCAGCUGCACCACUGAUCCUACCCUGGACGCAGCCUCAUAUUACCGUGACUUCACUAUACUAAAGGUCCCAGUUAAUAUGACCGUUGUCCAGCUCAUGCAGGUGAGACUCUGCCAAUGAAAAUAAU